ACGGAGGGGGCGAGCGUUAUUCGGAAUUAUUGGGCGUAAAGGGCGCGUAGGCGGCCCGGUAAGUCAAAGGUGAAAUCCCUCGGCUCAACUGAGGAACUGCCUUUGAAACUGUCGGGCUUGAGGCCGGGAGGGGGUAGCGGAAUUCCCAGUGUAGCGGUGAAAUGCGUAGAUAUUGGGAGGAACACCGGUGGCGAAGGCGGCUACCUGGACCGGUUCUGACGCUGAUGCGCGAAAGCGUGGGUAGCAAACAGGA
This 253-nucleotide ribosomal RNA is filed under the name uncultured prokaryote. RNAcentral describes it as "partial 16S ribosomal RNA". It matches the Rfam family "Bacterial small subunit ribosomal RNA", at positions 525 to 777 of the family's 1533-position model. The record is from RNAcentral.